GGGGUGAAGCUCAGUGGUAGAGCACUUGCCUAGCAUGUACGAGGCCCUGGGUUUGAUCCUCAGCACCGCA
RNAcentral lists this transfer RNA (70 nucleotides) under Marmota monax (woodchuck). RNAcentral's name for it is "tRNA.Ala". It matches the Rfam family "tRNA". From Rfam's summary of the family: Transfer RNA (tRNA) molecules are approximately 80 nucleotides in length. The record is from RNAcentral. Lineage: Eukaryota; Metazoa; Chordata; Mammalia; Rodentia; Sciuridae.